RNAcentral lists this non-coding RNA (99 nucleotides) under uncultured Gemmiger sp. Its description in RNAcentral is "PreQ1-III riboswitch". It matches the Rfam family "PreQ1-III (pre queuosine) riboswitch aptamer". The record is from RNAcentral. Lineage: Bacteria; Bacillati; Bacillota; Clostridia; Eubacteriales; Oscillospiraceae.
GAGCAACUUAGGAUUUUAGGCUCCGUCCCGGCUUCGGCCGGGGCGCAAACCGGGACAAGGCUGGCGGUCUUGUCUGCGGUCAAAAUCUAUCCGCCGGAG